Long non-coding RNA from Meriones unguiculatus (Mongolian gerbil), 1888 nucleotides. RefSeq lists it as uncharacterized. Lineage: Eukaryota; Metazoa; Chordata; Mammalia; Rodentia; Muridae. The transcript is spliced from 2 exons. The record is from RefSeq and is a predicted model, not a curated record.
UGAACAAUUUGCAAGUAAGAAUAACAGAAAUAACUCUCACUGUGCUGAAUCCACAAGGAAACCCAAGUGCUUUGAUGCCUUGCACUAAACAGAAAGGUCAGAACUCUGAGGUCAUAUUGAACUGAAGCCUAGGGGUCAGUUCUUGAUAGGGAAAUCACUUUUGCAGGACCCCCAGACUCACGUCUUCAACACCCAGCCUGCUAUCCUUUUCUUCUUGGUGGUGAGAGUGGGGCCCUCUACCUCGUCACUAACGGGGAGCAGGACCGGCGAGUUCAAGAGGGCUAUGGCUGCGUGACUGUGGACAGCUGCGGUUGUUGGCACCUCUAAGAUUUAGAAACUGCAUUGGCCAAGGUCUUCCGGUCUGCAAGCGUGCAAACAUGGCACCCACACCACUGGCCUCCAGAAACAAAGCGUGGAGGAGAAGCCAGCCAGAGUAGCCACUGAAGGUCUUGGCUUUGACACAUGGAAGGGGCCUGUGAUCUACAGACCUGAGUGAAUUCCCAGGGGAAAAUGCCAGGAGGAAGUUCGGGUCACAUGGCUCUCUCCCCACCCACCCACUACCUCCCAGUUUCUUCAUUUUGGGGAACGCGGAUCCUCUAGGGAAACUGCUUAAGGGCCUGCUUUACACAGCGGAAGUUAGCUUGCUUGUUUUUAAAUAAGCAGGAUCCGGACAUUGGUUUGUUGUUUUUUUUUUUUUAAUUUUAGAAAACUCAAAAAUAAAGCAAAAAGAUAAAUAUAAAUUAAAAAAAAAAGAAAAAAAGAGAAAGCUUCACUCUUUUCCCGGUUGUUGGGAAAAAUAACAAAUGCGUAGCAUGGAGCCUGGGAGCCCAAAUCUGAAGAGAGGCAAUCAGCUGACCGCCCGGAGAGCUAGCCCUGCAGUUCAGGUCACCACUCCUUCCUAUCCUCAGCGCCCAAGACUUCUGAGGUAGUAUUAGAAGACACGAGGUCACUUUCAUGUUCCUGGGAGAAAAACUCCCUGAUUUGCACCGAGAUCUUGGAUCUGAUAAAACCGGGCGAUUCUGGGCUACUCCAGGAUCAGCGACUGUGAUAAAACCGGACAAGCUGGCUUCUGCUCAUUAACCUUCCCUCCGUACCUCGAGGGAUAACCUCAAUUUCUUUGGGAUUAUACCGAAGCAGCAGACUUAUGAAAUACCAGCGGCAAGGCUGGAGUCUGCACUUUCUGGGUUCUGGCUGGACUUGCCUGUGGGCUGCCUUGCAUAUUAAAAGGCCUGGCCAGUCUUUGUGUUUCUUGCUUGUAAGUCUGCAGCGAGGGUCCUGGUUUGAGUAUCUGCUGCUCUCUUCCAGGCUGGCCUGGCAGGCUGCAUUACCUGGAGGCUAAUGAGGUGCGUGCUGCUGGUGUGUGCAUGGUGAUGGGAACGCCUUGGAAAAUGUGAUUUUAAAAUCACGAGGUUUGCAGAGCCUCACAACUGUAGGGGAAGUGUGAGGACUAAGGACCUAUAGAAACUCCCUCCCAGUUGACAGUGUUCACCAGGGUGGGCCGGGACUCUUCCCUGCCCUCUGGGACUAAGGAUGACUUCUGGGACUAAGGAUGCUCCCUCAGCCCUUUGGGCUUCUGCAGUGUGUGGGUGGAGAGAGGGAGUGUGUCCCGGUCAAAGCGAAGGCUUGCAGCCACCUGUGGCAGGAGUGUGGAGAUCUAGGUGCAGGGCAAGAACUCCGAAGGAAAGCAAGCCAGUGGUCCCAGCGGACCAGAAAGCUGAGUCACCGAGACCCAGCUCCCCAGGAUGACCAGCUAGCUGCCGGAAGCCACAACCACUUCUGAAGGACUAAACAUUUCGCAUGCUUUCACAACAGAUUUCAUUUUUCUUACCCGAUGGAAAAAAAUAAUCACAGUGUAGAAAAAAAAUAAAAUGUAAAAAUCUUAAAAUGA